GUCCAAUCCUAACCCCCACGCUCCUCAACUGCUCACGUGGCAAGUUGUCUCCCAGGGAAACAAGACUGAGAAUGUUGAUGAUUUAAUGAAAAUCCUUCCUCCUGCUGGGAAAAUAAUUCAGAAUCUCUCUAAAUGUAAGAGCAAAAUAUUUCAUUUUGAUGAAGUCCAAGGAGUGUUUUUCUCCCAUGGGUUGUGCUUUCCAUGUCAACUUUAUUUUUUGUG
Molecule: long non-coding RNA, 222 nt
Organism: Diceros bicornis minor
Lineage: Eukaryota; Metazoa; Chordata; Mammalia; Perissodactyla; Rhinocerotidae
Exons: 3
Source: RefSeq, a predicted model, not a curated record